RNAcentral lists this long non-coding RNA (528 nucleotides) under Salvia miltiorrhiza (redroot sage). RNAcentral describes it as "long non-coding RNA (SMIL_LNC012121)". The record is from RNAcentral. Lineage: Eukaryota; Viridiplantae; Streptophyta; Magnoliopsida; Lamiales; Lamiaceae.
AAACAUGCUCGCUUGAAAAUAAAACGUGCUUAGUGAAAACGUGAUAGAACCUAGCAUGAUAUUCUAUGCGCAUUUACAUUCACAUAAUGCAAAUAAAAUCAUGGUCAAAACACCAUAACGGUGAUUAAAACCACGACAUGAUAAGAACAAUAAAAAAAAUUCUUCGCGGCUCAUUCGUGGAAUCCCAUUUCUAAUCUAUUACAUUAAAAGAAAAGAAAUAAAAAAUGGACAAUAAAAUGCCCAAAAACCGCCUAAACAGGCUGGAAAAAAAAAAAAAAAACCGAUCCAGCCCUUGUUUGGGCCCAAAACACGCGGCCCAGCCGCCCAGGCCCGUCCAGCAGUGGCCCGGAUCCACAAGGAGCAGCUCAGGCCCGCAAGGAGCAACCCAGACCCGCGAAUAAUCGGCCCAGAACCCAGGCCCAGUCAACCCUCCUCUUUGACCCGGUCAGAUUAGGGUUUUCAGCCCCAAUUCUCAUUUCUCGGGAAACGCGCCGCACAGAAGAGGCGCUGCACUGAAUCCGGUCGAUC